GAUGAACGCUGGCGGCGUGCUUAACACAUGCAAGUCGAACGGAAAGGCCCCUGCUUGCCGGGGUACUCGAGUGGCGAACGGGUGAGUAACACGUGGGUGAUCUGCCCUGCACUUCGGGAUAAGCCUGGGAAACUGGGUCUAAUACCGGAUAGGACGAUGGUUUGGAUGCUAUUGUGGAAAGUUUUUCGGUGUGGGAUGAGCUCGCGGCCUAUCAGCUUGUUGGUGGGGUAAUGGCCUACCAAGGCGUCGACGGGUAGCCGGCCUGAGAGGGUGUGCGGCCACAUUGGGACUGAGAUACGGCCCAGACUCCAACGGGAGGCAGCGGUGGAGAAUAUUACACAAUGGGCGCAAGCCAGAUGCAGCGACGCCGCGUGGGGGAUGACGGCCUUCGGGUUGUAAACUCCUUUCGCUAGAGACGAAGCGCAAGUGACGGUACCUGGAGAAGAAGCACCGGCUAACUACGUG
Molecule: ribosomal RNA, 465 nt
Filed under: uncultured bacterium
Lineage: Bacteria
Description: partial 16S ribosomal RNA
Rfam family: Bacterial small subunit ribosomal RNA
Source: RNAcentral